Molecule: transfer RNA, 89 nt
Filed under: Paludibacteraceae bacterium
Lineage: Bacteria; Pseudomonadati; Bacteroidota; Bacteroidia; Bacteroidales; Paludibacteraceae
Description: tRNA-Arg
Rfam family: tRNA
About the family: Transfer RNA (tRNA) molecules are approximately 80 nucleotides in length. Their secondary structure includes four short double-helical elements and three loops (D, anti-codon, and T loops). Further hydrogen bonds mediate the characteristic L-shaped molecular structure. tRNAs have two regions of fundamental functional importance: the anti-codon, which is responsible for specific mRNA codon recognition, and the 3' end, to which the tRNAs corresponding amino acid is attached (by aminoacyl-tRNA synthetases). tRNAs cope with the degeneracy of the genetic code in two manners: having more than one tRNA (with a specific anti-codon) for a particular amino acid; and 'wobble' base-pairing, i.e. permitting non-standard base-pairing at the 3rd anti-codon position.
Source: RNAcentral
GGCCUGAUAAAACGUAACAGGAUGACCGUCCUUGUUUCCUAAACAAGUCACUCGAAAGGGUGUUGUGGGUUCGAAUCCCUCUCAGGUCA